GAUGAACGCUGGCGGCGUGCCUAAUACAUGCAAGUCGAGCGAAUGGAUUAAGAGCUUGCUCUUAUGAAGUUAGCGGCGGACGGGUGAGUAACACGUGGGUAACCUGCCCAUAAGACUGGGAUAACUCCGGGAAACCGGGGCUAAUACCGGAUAACAUUUUGAACCGCAUGGUUCGAAAUUGAAAGGCGGCUUCGGCUGUCACUUAUGGAUGGACCCGCGUCGCAUUAGCUAGUUGGUGAGGUAACGGCUCACCAAGGCAACGAUGCGUAGCCGACAUGAGAGGGGGAUCGGCCACACUGGGACUGAGAAACGGGCCAGACUCCUACGGGAGGCAGCAGUAGGGAAUCUUCCGCAAUGGACGAAAGUCUGACGGAGCAACGCCGCGUGAGUGAUGAAGGCUUUCGGGUCGUAAAACUCUGUUGUUAGGGAAGAACAAGUGCUAGUUGAAUAAGCUGGCACCUUGGCGGUACCUAACCAGAAAGCCACGGCUAACUACGUGCCAGCCGCCGCAGUAA
RNAcentral lists this ribosomal RNA (515 nucleotides) under uncultured bacterium. RNAcentral describes it as "partial 16S ribosomal RNA". It matches the Rfam family "Bacterial small subunit ribosomal RNA", at positions 28 to 523 of the family's 1533-position model. The record is from RNAcentral.